Molecule: non-coding RNA, 794 nt
Organism: Anas platyrhynchos (mallard)
Lineage: Eukaryota; Metazoa; Chordata; Aves; Anseriformes; Anatidae
Source: RefSeq, a predicted model, not a curated record
UUGAGCUCUUUCGUUUUACAAAGCCUCGCUGGAAUUCUCUUCCAUUCAGUGGUGAUGGCCAGUUCUAACAUUACAGCAACUUGCCUUGAAAACCAGCAUUUUCAAGACAGGCAUUUUUCAGUGUUAUACAUUAUUCAUUUUCCUUCCUUUGGUUUUCUUUGCUGUUAGUUUCUUUUGCCACUGUGCAGGAGGAGGAGAGAUGAGGGAAGGAGGAGGUGGUAGCACUCUUCCUCUGCUCACUGUCCAUUUUCCCCCUUUUCCCUGGCUCAGAAUGAAUUUUGUACUGUUUACAGAGCUGUCAGAAACAAGGGGUGGGAGGAAGGAAGAGGAGGGGAGGACAAAGUGAGAAUGGGAGGAAACCUUUGCUCUCUGAUGUCACUAUUCCAAAAUUAGAUCAAGUCACAUUUCCUCAUGGAACUUCGGGUGCAAGGAAGCACUGAGCUUUUGCAGCCCCUAGUCUGAAGUUGCCUGCUCCAGUAGAUGACCUGCGCUGUCAUGCACGCUAUCCAAAACAAUUGGACAAUGGCAAACUUUUAAAGUUAAUGCAUGUCCUGGUUAUUGUCCUGUCCCCCUCAGCUUGUGCAUUCUGACACUUGCUUGAUGUCGCUGAGUCCUGUUUAUUGAAAAUAACAUUUAAUCCAUGACUUGCCUGCUGCAUUCUUGUUUGACCUGUUAACUGUUAAGCCAAAAAAAUUAUUUUAAGAAUGGACUUGUCAAAGGGAGCAUAUCUCCUCCCUUCAAAGACCUCUGAGGAUGAAUAUUUGAUUAAAAUGUGACUGCAGCAUUAAAAUGGA